This is a long non-coding RNA of Piliocolobus tephrosceles (Ugandan red Colobus), 194 nucleotides long. RefSeq lists it as uncharacterized. Lineage: Eukaryota; Metazoa; Chordata; Mammalia; Primates; Cercopithecidae. The record is from RefSeq and is a predicted model, not a curated record. The transcript has 3 exons.
AUUAUCUUUCCAUACCGUGUUUUAUUUCAAAAUGAAGGAAUUUAAAAGAUAUAAUCAUAAUGAACGACAUUAUAAAAGAUAUUUUAACAAUAGAUCACAUGACAGAAACGAUCAUUCACAUAGAGGUGACGAUUACAGAACGAAUAGCAGAUACAAGGGAAUAGCAAAGCACAAUGUCAAAAACACGUACUAUG